UACGGAGGGUGCAAGCGUUGUCCGGAAUCACUGGGCGUAAAGGGCGCGUAGGCGGCUCAUGAAGGCUGUGGUGAAAGUCCGGGGCUCAACCUCGGAUCGGCCGUGGCGACUCGUGGGCUGGAGCACUGUAGAGGCGGGUGGAAUUCCGGGUGUAGCGGUGGAAUGCGUAGAGAUCCGGAAGAACACCGGUGGCGAAGGCGGCCUGCUGGGCAGUAGCUGACGCUGAGGCGCGACAGCGUGGGGAGCAAACAGG
RNAcentral lists this ribosomal RNA (253 nucleotides) under uncultured bacterium. RNAcentral describes it as "partial 16S ribosomal RNA". It matches the Rfam family "Bacterial small subunit ribosomal RNA", at positions 524 to 776 of the family's 1533-position model. The record is from RNAcentral.